CCUACGAGAGGCAGCAGUGGGGAAUAUUGCACACUGGGGGAAACCCUGAUGCAGCGACGCCGCGGGAAGGAAGAAGUAUUGCGGUAUGUAAACUUCUAUCCGCAGGGAAGAAAAUGACGGUACCUGACUAAGAAGCACCGGCUAACUACGUGCCAGCAGCCGCGGUAAUACGUAGGGGGCAAGCUUUAUCCGGAUUUACUGGUGUUAAAGGGAGCGUAGGCGGUGUAGCAAGUCAGAAGUGAAAGCCCGGGGCUCAACUCCGGGACUGCUUUUGAAACUGUUGAACUAGAUUGUAGGACAGGUAAGUGGAAUUCCUAGUGUAGCUGUGAAAUGCGUAGAUAUUAGGAGGAACACCAGUGGCGAAGGCGGCUUACUGGACUGUAAAUGACGCUGAGGCUCGAAAGCGUGGGGAGCAAACAGGAUUAGAUACCCCUGUAGUC
RNAcentral lists this ribosomal RNA (440 nucleotides) under uncultured bacterium. RNAcentral describes it as "partial 16S ribosomal RNA". It matches the Rfam family "Bacterial small subunit ribosomal RNA", at positions 338 to 795 of the family's 1533-position model. The record is from RNAcentral.